This 845-nucleotide long non-coding RNA is filed under the name Aotus nancymaae (Ma's night monkey). RNAcentral's name for it is "lncRNA (ENSANAG00000039251.1)". Lineage: Eukaryota; Metazoa; Chordata; Mammalia; Primates; Aotidae. The record is from RNAcentral.
CAGCUUAACACAAUGCUGUCUUUUCUGCCCUUGGAACUUAACCUGGGUUGAGAGGUGCUCACAAGCUGCUAUGGAUACUUGGGUCUCUAGUCAUCGUUUUCAUGUGGAAACUCCUUAAAGAGAGUGUUAAAUUUAAUACUCCAAUUGUAAAGAACUCUAAAAAUGGAAGAGAGGAUAUGUGUAAAUAAAGACAGUAUAUUCCCAAACCUAGUAUCAGUAAGUUUUUACAAAAAUCCAGCAGUUUGUUUUGUCCUUGCCAUAGCUCCCAUUCUUUAGGGGUGCUGAUGUAAAAUUAGAGUCCCACCAAGCCUUUGCUUGUGUGUAUGUGGUUUUAUAUCGUUGAGUCAGACACACUGGGCAGAUAUGUUCAUGUUUCUGUAUAUUGUUCACUUUAUGGUGUAUUCAUUUUCUUCUCCCGACAGCACCCUUACCUGGUUUCUCAACCAUGCAAUAUGCUGAGCCCGAUGUUUACAAAAAGAAAGAAAAAAACUCUCGAAGAUUCGAGACUCUAAGCCGUAAGACCUCAACGGGAAAAAAAACUCAAUAUGGAUUUAUAGGAAAAAUUUAUUUUCAUUUGCCUUCUUUGGAAGCAUAAAAUGAAAGUGCUUGAAGGGACUCCGGGAACUUCAAAUAAGGAGUCAAUUUCUCAUCCACAGCUCCCAACUUCCCCACGGCGUCUGGUAGGGACUCCACCUCUGAAGGGGAGAAGAGCAGAGGCUGGUUCUGCCUUUGGCUUCUACACAGUUUUCCACAUUUGCUAUGGAAUAAUCAUAUCACGUGUAAAGGAGGAGACCUGUGUUUUCCCCAGUGUGGGGAGAGUCGAGAUGGAAGGAAAACUCCACUGA